UCCUACGGGGGGCAGCAGUAGGGAAUUUUCGUCAAUGGGCGCAAGCCUGAGCGAGCAAUGCCGCGUGAACGAGGAAGGUCUUCGGAUCGUAAAGUUCUGUUGAAGGGGAAAAAGAGCGGAGAGAGGAAAUGGUCUCCGAUUGAUAUUACCCUUCGAGGAAGUCACGGCUAACUACGUGCCAGCAGCCGCGGUAAUACGUAGGUGGCGAGCGUUAUCCGGAAUGAUUGGGCGUAAAGGGUGCGUAGGCGGCCUGCUAAGUCUGGAGUGAAAGGUACCGGCUCAACCGGUACAGGCUCUGGAAACUG
This 305-nucleotide ribosomal RNA is filed under the name uncultured bacterium. Its description in RNAcentral is "bacterial SSU rRNA". It matches the Rfam family "Bacterial small subunit ribosomal RNA", at positions 337 to 635 of the family's 1533-position model. The record is from RNAcentral.